RNAcentral lists this ribosomal RNA (253 nucleotides) under uncultured bacterium. RNAcentral describes it as "partial 16S ribosomal RNA". It matches the Rfam family "Bacterial small subunit ribosomal RNA", at positions 524 to 776 of the family's 1533-position model. The record is from RNAcentral.
UACGUAGGGGGCAAGCGUUGUCCGGAUUUAUUGGGCGUAAAGAGCGUGUAGGCGGCUAGGUAGGUCCGUUGUGAAAACUCGAGGCUCAACCUCGAGACGUCGAUGGAAACCAUCUAGCUAGAGUCCGGAAGAGGAGAGUGGAAUUCCCGGUGUAGCGGUGAAAUGCGCAGAUAUCGGGAAGAACACCCGUGGCGAAGGCGGCUCUCUGGGACGGUACUGACGCUGAGACGCGAAAGCGUGGGGAGCGAACAGG